GCCCAGUUUGAUUACAACAGAUUCUCUUUGUGAGUGCCUGCACACAUGUGAGUUCUCUCCCUUCACUGCCGCCUCUCCGGUUUGAUUUCGUUUCGUCCUCGCGUUCUGUCUCUGUAUCGUUGAUGUGUCGGGCCCUUGAUGUGCCGGCUCUGCCAGGGCCUCCUGCGGGACGCACACGCCUUCACCGAGUGCCUCGAGUCCUCGACACAUUUUGUCGAGAGUGCGUUACGAAGAAAAUAGAUGAGGAGGAGAUUGAAUCUUGCCCAGUAUGCACAAUUGAUGUUGGUAUUUCUCCUGAAGAGAAACUCAGGUGAAGUAGUUGUUAUUACUUAGUACCAAGGUUUAUGUAUACAACAUUCUUCCUUCAUCUUGGCAGAUGUGUUUAAUACACACGUGUAGUGUUAAUACCAUGUGAACAUGGAAACAUAGUAGUGCAUGGAAACAUUUCUAUGUACUUGGGCAGUAAGGUUGUAAAGAAAACAGAUUGUCAGAAUGGAGAAAACAGUAUAUUCGAUUAUCAGUAUGGAUAUAAGCCAUAUGGAAUCAUUUGCAAAGUAUAUAUGCCAUUCGGAUGAGCCAACAUAAUACAUGUAGCUUGAUCUUCUUGGUUGAAUCCUUAAAGAGAUAGGUCUUCAAGUACAUUUUCCUUCUGUUAUUGCCUUGUAAAUGUGUACCUUUUCAGUAGAGCAUUGUGAUCGCAGACAUCAUUUAUUACCCGUUAUGGCAGCAAUUGCACUUACAACCUUUAUAUAGCAGAUUAAUAUAUUAGGUUUUGCAACAAAAACGUCUCUCUAUUGUUAUUAUAUAUGUGAUAAGAUCUGGCCGUAUGAUGCAGAGCCAGGAGGAUGACUGCUCUUGAUGCAAGUCGUCAAGUAUGUACUCUUAUUUUAAUUUACUGCUAAAUAAUUUUCAUGUAUCGAGCACAUAUAAUUCAGCUCUUUCUAAUCUUUUUACGAAACUGGCAUUCCUAACUGUACAGUUCCUGUUGUGACCAUCUUUUUUUAACAGUUUGUCGAGAGUACAUUAUGAAGAAAAUAUAUGAGGAUGUUGAAUCUUGCCCAGUAUGCAUAAUUAAUCUUGGUAUCUUGGAGUACUUCUUACCAAGGUUUAUCUAUACAACAUUCUUCCUUCAUCUUGGCAGAUGUGCUUGUUAACUACAGUACACACGUCUAGAGUUAAUAUCAUGUGAACCUUCAGAGGUCAUGCUAUCAUCUUGUUUAGGUCAUCGUUAUCGCUAAUAUAGUACUGCAUAAAAACAUUUCUACAGACUAGGGCAGUAAUAAGGCUUUAAAGAACAACAGAUUGUUAGAAUCGAGAAAAUAGGCUAUUGGGAUUAUUAGAAUGGAAAAGCCAUAUAGAGUCAUUUGCAAAGUGUAUCUGCCAUUCAGGCCAGCCAACACAUUAAUACAUGUAGAUUGAUCUUCUUCGUUGAACCGUUAAAGAGAUAGGUCUUUAAGCUCAUUUUCCUUCUGUUAUUUUCCUUCUGCCUGCUACAUUCCUAUCUUUCCUGAAAAUAUGCCACAAAUACACAUGCUUGCUUGUUUUGUGAAGCAAAAAGCUCAGUGUUGCCAGCCAGCCGCUUAUUUGUUUCUUAAUGUCGUCAUGAUCCUGACUCAACUGUGCGCUUCUACCUAACAUGAUUGAUUCUUUCUUGUUUGAAGGCCUGACAGCAGUAUUCAAGCUAUCAGGAACAAGUUGUUUCCGCUUAAGAGGGCAGAAUUUGAUGCUUCUAAGGUUCCAACUGUUACAUCGUCAGUACAGAGGUUUCUUUCUUCCUUUGUAGUUGAAACCCCAAUGGUAUCUGCACAACCUGUUUUGACAGGAAAGAGAACCAAAGCUACAAGGACACCAGCAUCGCGUGUAACUUCUCUCAGUAAUAAUGGGACCAUGAAAAUAUGAUUACUGAGGAGACCGGGAAAAUCUCAGCACCAAAAUCUACCAGGAUGACAACAACUGUGAAUAAUAUGCAGAUUAAUUCAGAUAUAGUAGCCUCAAGCCAGGCUUCUCCUGAAGAUAGAAAGAAUGGCAAGACAAUGGACAUGGAAGGGCUCUGGAAGCCCUUGAGCAGUUUUCUUGAGGCAAGUGAGACAAAAUCGCUUAGAUCAAAUCUCAAAAGCCAUGCUGCUGCCGCCACGACAAAAUAGAACACUAACGGCGAACUCCCAGUAAGGAAGACAACACAACAAAGUGACUAUUACUGGAACAAAGGUGCACAUAAAGUAGGUGGAUGUUGCUUGCAUAACUAGUGUGAUCAACAUUUUACUUUGAUCCAACUCUUGCGCUUAGUGCUGUGGCAAGACAGGACACCCAAUUGACAUAAUGUGUUCAACAAUGUAUUAGCAUUGAUAGGGGUAGUGUGUGUUACACAAAGCAUAACACAGAGAAAACACGGAAUGUGUUCCACACACUAUUAGCAUUCAUACGGGUAAACCCAAAAUGAAAUCUUGAGAGUGUCAAUGGUGUCUAUGUAGAUAUGCAUAGAUUUAUAAAGAGGUUGGACUACUUUAUGCAUAUCUGUAUAUAUAUGUAACAAAGAAAGAGAAAUAAAUUUUAGG
This is a long non-coding RNA of Brachypodium distachyon (stiff brome), 2555 nucleotides long. RefSeq lists it as uncharacterized. The transcript is spliced from 3 exons. Lineage: Eukaryota; Viridiplantae; Streptophyta; Magnoliopsida; Poales; Poaceae. The record is from RefSeq and is a predicted model, not a curated record.